CGCCGAAAACCCCUUUNACCAAUGCCCCGCNAAAGUUGUGAUAAGGGGGAUCCUCCNGUGCUCAUGNUUCUGCCAUGGGCUUUUUGCCCAAAGAGUAAAAUAGCCCUGGCGAAUAAAGGGGUGGGGCAAAGACCCGGUGCCCAGCCGCCCGCGGUAAACACCGGCGCCCCGAGUGGCAAUCGCGUUUAUUGGGCCUAAAGCGUCCGUAGCCCGGAUUGGUAAAUCCUCUGUGAAAUUGUUGGGCUCAACCCGACGGCGUGCAGUGGAGACUGCCAGUCUUGAGACCGGGAGGAGCAAGAGGUAUUCCAUGGGGACUGGUAAAAUGGUAUAAUCCCCGGUAGACCACCUAUGGCGAAGGCAUCUUGCCAGAACGGAUCUGACGGUGAGGGACGAAAGCCAGGGGAGCGAAACCGGAUUAGAUACCCGAGUAGUCCUAGCCGUAAACNCUNUNANUCUUUCUANUGGGUUUCCCACANCAAUUUACAUUUUCNAAACCAA
This 498-nucleotide ribosomal RNA is filed under the name uncultured archaeon. RNAcentral's name for it is "partial 16S ribosomal RNA". It matches the Rfam family "Archaeal small subunit ribosomal RNA", at positions 339 to 818 of the family's 1478-position model. The record is from RNAcentral.